GUGGGGAAUUUUGGACAAUGGGCGCAAGCCUGAUCCAGCAAUGCCGCGUGCAGGAAGAAGGCCUUCGGGUUGUAAACUGCUUUUGUACGGAACGAAACGGUCUGGGUUAAUACCCUGGACUAAUGACGGUACCGUAAGAAUAAGCACCGGCUAACUACGUGCCAGCAGCCGCGGUAAUACGUAGGGUGCAAGCGUUAAUCGGAAUUACUGGGCGUAAAGCGUGCGCAGGCGGUUUUGUAAGACAGGCGUGAAAUCCCCGGGCUCAACCUGGGAAUUGCGCUUGUGACUGCAAGGCUGGAGUGCGGCAGAGGGGGAUGGAAUUCCGCGUGUAGCAGUGAAAUGCGUAGAUAUGCGGAGGAACACCGAUGGCGAAGGCAAUCCCCUGGGCCUGCACUGACGCUCAUGCACGAAAGCGUGGGGAGCAAACAGGAUUAGAAACCCGAGUAGUCC
This 450-nucleotide ribosomal RNA is filed under the name uncultured bacterium. RNAcentral's name for it is "partial 16S ribosomal RNA". It matches the Rfam family "Bacterial small subunit ribosomal RNA", at positions 354 to 796 of the family's 1533-position model. The record is from RNAcentral.